Molecule: ribosomal RNA, 437 nt
Filed under: Mecysmauchenius osorno
Lineage: Eukaryota; Metazoa; Arthropoda; Arachnida; Araneae; Mecysmaucheniidae
Description: partial 16S ribosomal RNA
Source: RNAcentral
UUCUUAUAGGAAUAAUUAUAAGUAAAACCUGCUCAAUGGUAACAAAUAGCCGCAGAUCCAAUACUGUGCUAAGGUAGCAUAAUCAUUUGUCUUAUAAUUAAAGACCAGUAUGAAAGGUUAAACGUUUAAUAACUAUAUAAAAUUUAAAUAUAAAAAUUAAAAUAAAUGUAAAAAUUCAUUUAUAAAAAAUAAAGACGACAAGACCCUAUUGAACUUAACUAAUGUUAGACUGGGAUAGUUAAUUAAAAAAAUUUUAAUUAAAAUUAAUAAAUAAACCUUUUAAAAAAUAUUUAAUCAAUGUUACCAUAGGGAUAACAGCGCAAUUUAAUUUAAAAGCUCAUAUUUUAAAUCAAGAUUACGACCUCGAUGUUGAAUAAUAAAUCUAAUACAGUGCAACGACUUAAAAAGAAGGUCUGUUCGACCUUUAAUUUAUUACA